This 253-nucleotide ribosomal RNA is filed under the name uncultured bacterium. RNAcentral's name for it is "partial 16S ribosomal RNA". It matches the Rfam family "Bacterial small subunit ribosomal RNA", at positions 524 to 776 of the family's 1533-position model. The record is from RNAcentral. RNAcentral also lists the same sequence under 1 other name.
UACGUAGGGACCAAGCGUUGUUCGGAUUUACUGGGCGUAAAGGGCGCGUAGGCGGCAUGUUAAGUCAGCUGUGAAAUCUCCGAGCUUAACUCGGAACUGUCAGCUGAUACUGAUGUGCUAGAGUGCAGAAGGGGCAAUCGGAAUUCUUGGUGUAGCGGUGAAAUGCGUAGAUAUCAAGAGGAACACCUGAGGUGAAGACGGGUUGCUGGGCUGACACUGACGCUGAGGCGCGAAAGCCAGGGGAGCAAACGGG